AGGUAAUCAGCAAUCAUAAAAUGAAAAACGAAUGUACAACAGAGCUGACGUUUUUUUUUUCUCUUUGACAACUUUGGGAUUUAAAAUGAUGAGAAUGUGGCGAUUUUAACUAUUUGUCGUUUCCAUUUCCUAUAUGUAUGUAAUGUGCAUUGUGUUUGGGAACUUACACAAGCUGGACAAACACCUUGACAGUUAGAACUUCGUCUAGCUUGGCAUGAAUGUUUAGAAACUGUUCGGAUUAAAUAUCUAAGAGAGGAAACUACUACUAAGUAUAUGAUGUGAAUUUCAUGCAUGGAUGACAAGGAUGCAUUUAUGAGGAUAGCACAUUGUUUAUUUUACUAGUGGGUGACCAUAUAAAGAAGACUUUCUACAACUUUGCCAUUUUGCAUUCUUAAUAUGAUUCACACUACAGACUAUAGUUUUCAAUUGCCUCUAUGUGCAUGUAGAAGCUAAUAGGAAUCCUUAUAAAUGAAAAUAUAUGUUUGAGAGUGGCUCAUGCUUCUUUGUUAUCCUUGUGAAGAAUAUGCUAUGGUCUUGGUGGUGUGAGAAUUUAAUUUUCUUUGUUCUUCAUCCUCAUGAACUUGUCUCAGCAUUAUGAUUCAAGUGAAAAGCAAUUUUGUUGGAUA
This 626-nucleotide unclassified non-coding RNA is filed under the name Hevea brasiliensis (rubber tree). Lineage: Eukaryota; Viridiplantae; Streptophyta; Magnoliopsida; Malpighiales; Euphorbiaceae. The record is from RNAcentral.